RNAcentral lists this ribosomal RNA (253 nucleotides) under uncultured bacterium. RNAcentral describes it as "partial 16S ribosomal RNA". It matches the Rfam family "Bacterial small subunit ribosomal RNA", at positions 524 to 776 of the family's 1533-position model. The record is from RNAcentral.
GACGAACCGUACGAACGUUAUUCGGAAUCACUGGGCUUAAAGGGUGCGUAGGCUGCGCGGAAAGUUGGGUGUGAAAUCCCUCGGCUCAACCGAGGAACUGCGCCCAAAACUGCCGUGCUCGAGGGAGACAGAGGUGAGCGGAACUUAGGGUGGAGCGGUGAAAUGCGUAGAGAUCCGGAGGAACACCAAAGGCGAAGGCAGUGUCCUGGGGAGUACCUGACGCUCAGGUGCGAAAGCCAGGGGAGCGAACGGG